GCGCGAGUAGGCUAAUUGGCAACGCCACUGUACUUAAAAUACAGAGAAUGGCGGUUCGACUCCGCCCUCGCGUACCA
Molecule: transfer RNA, 77 nt
Filed under: marine sediment metagenome
Description: tRNA-Leu
Rfam family: tRNA
About the family: Transfer RNA (tRNA) molecules are approximately 80 nucleotides in length.
Source: RNAcentral